This 116-nucleotide ribosomal RNA is filed under the name Bacteroidales bacterium. RNAcentral also lists the same sequence under 4 other names. Lineage: Bacteria; Pseudomonadati; Bacteroidota; Bacteroidia; Bacteroidales. The record is from RNAcentral.
UCCGGUGGUUAAGCCAAGGGGUUCCACCUGUUCCCAUCCCGAACACAGAAGUUAAGCCCUUGUACGCCGACAAUACUUGGCUGGCGACGGCCCGGGAAGAUAGGUAGCUGCCGGAU